CGAAAGUUAGAGGAUCGAAGGCGAUCAGAUACCGCCCUAGUUCUAACCAUAAACGAUGCCAGCCAGCGAUCCGGCUGUGUUCCUCAAAUGACACGCCGGGCAGCUUCCGGGAAACCAAAGCUUUUGGGUUCCGGGGGAAGUAUGGUUGCAAAGCUGAAACUUAAAGGAAUUGACGGAGGGGCACCACCAGGCUUGGAUGUUGCGGUUCAAUUUGACUCAACGCAGCAAACCUUACCAGGCCAGGACACAAGAAGGAUUGACAGAUUGAGAGCUCUUUCUUGAUUUUGUGGGUGGUGGUGCAUGGCCGUUCCUGGUUCGUGGAGCGAUUUGUCUUGUUUAUUCUGAUAACGGACGAGAUUCUAGCCUAUUAAAUAGACGCUUAGAUCCUUCGAGUCUAGCGUAUCUUCUUAGAGGGACUGGCGGCGUUUAGCCGCACGAGGCAGAGCAAUAACAGGUCUGUAAUGCCCUUAGAUGUCCUGGGCCACACGCGUUCUACAUUGAAUGAAUCAACGUGUGCUUUCCCGGUCCGAAGGGACUGGGUAACCCGUUGAACCUCAUUCGUGCUGGGGAUAGGAAAUUGAAAUUGUCUUCCUUGAACGAGGAAAUCCUAGUAAGCGCGAGUCAUCAUCUCGGGUUGAUUAGGUCCCUGCCCCUUGUCCACACCGCCCGUCGCUAUUACCGAUUGAAUGAUUUAGUGAGGUCUUCGGACUGGCGCUCGGAUUGGCUUUCGGGUCGAGCCGGCGUGCCGGAAAGAUGACCGAACUUGACCAUUUAGAGGAAAUAAAAGUCGUAACAAGG
Molecule: ribosomal RNA, 798 nt
Filed under: Anguliphantes zygius
Lineage: Eukaryota; Metazoa; Arthropoda; Arachnida; Araneae; Linyphiidae
Description: SSU rRNA
Rfam family: Eukaryotic small subunit ribosomal RNA
Source: RNAcentral